RNAcentral lists this long non-coding RNA (405 nucleotides) under Nicotiana benthamiana. Its description in RNAcentral is "long non-coding RNA (NBEN_LNC029211)". The record is from RNAcentral. Lineage: Eukaryota; Viridiplantae; Streptophyta; Magnoliopsida; Solanales; Solanaceae.
AGAAAGAUAGUAAAUACAAUGUAAUACAUGAAAUACAGCGAGAUAUAUUGAAUUACAGUGAAAAAAGAUAAUGAAUAUAAUGAAAUACAUACAAAUAUAGUAUGAUACAUUAAAAUUACAUUGAAAUACAUGAAAAUGAGACUUUUCUGUGAACUGAUAAAACUGUGUCGGUGGAACGGCAUGAAGGACUAGAAUUUUCUUGACGCAGGAAAAUUAACGGACGAAGAAUUGAAUGUGAGUUGAUGGACGAGAUAUGUAAAACAGAAUGUCAAACUCACAGGAUAUGUAAUAAUUAGUAAUUAAUAAUUAGGUAAUAAUCAUAGAACUGAAUGUGAGUUGACUCCUUCCCUGACUUCAUCUUCACUGUCUUUUCUCUUUUCGUUUCUUCUCUUAUGCAAAUCCCAC